This 230-nucleotide ribosomal RNA is filed under the name uncultured Alicycliphilus sp. RNAcentral describes it as "partial 16S ribosomal RNA". It matches the Rfam family "Bacterial small subunit ribosomal RNA", at positions 550 to 774 of the family's 1533-position model. The record is from RNAcentral. Lineage: Bacteria; Pseudomonadati; Pseudomonadota; Betaproteobacteria; Burkholderiales; Comamonadaceae.
AGCUGAUCAUUGGGUGUAAAGUGUGCGCAGGCGGUUUUGUAAGACAGAGGUGAAAUCCCCGGGCUCAACCUGGGAACUGCCUUUGUGACUGCAAGGCUGGAGUGCGGCAGAGGGGGAUGGAAUUCCGCGUGUAGCAGUGAAAUGCGUAGAUAUGCGGAGGAACACCGAUGGCGAAGGCAAUCCCCUGGGCCUGCACUGACGCUCAUGCACGAAAGCGUGGGGAGCAAACA